RNAcentral lists this transfer RNA (69 nucleotides) under Arnoglossus polyspilus (many-spotted lefteye flounder). RNAcentral's name for it is "tRNA-Glu". It matches the Rfam family "tRNA". From Rfam's summary of the family: Transfer RNA (tRNA) molecules are approximately 80 nucleotides in length. Their secondary structure includes four short double-helical elements and three loops (D, anti-codon, and T loops). The record is from RNAcentral. Lineage: Eukaryota; Metazoa; Chordata; Actinopteri; Pleuronectiformes; Bothidae.
GUUACUGUAGUUGAAUUACAACAGUGGUUUUUCAUUCCACCAGUUUCGGUUUGAGUCCGGGCAGAAACU